Molecule: unclassified non-coding RNA, 352 nt
Filed under: soil metagenome
Description: partial contains 5.8S ribosomal RNA, internal transcribed spacer 2, and large subunit ribosomal RNA
Rfam family: 5.8S ribosomal RNA (bases 1-120)
Source: RNAcentral
GAUGAAGAACGCAGCGAAAUGCGAUAAGUAAUGUGAAUUGCAGAAUUCAGUGAAUCAUCGAAUCUUUGAACGCACAUUGCGCCCGCCAGUAUUCUGGCGGGCAUGCCUGUUCGAGCGUCAUUACAACCCUCAGGCCCCCGGGCCUGGCGUUGGGGAUCGGCGGAAGCCCCCUGCGGGCACAACGCCGUCCCCCAAAUACAGUGGCGGUCCCGCCGCAGCUUCCAUUGCGUAGUAGCAACACUCGCAUGCGGAGCGCGGCGCGGCCACGCCGUAAAACCCCCGACUUUCUGAACGUUGACCUCGGAUCAGGUAGGAAUACCCGCUGAACUUAAGCAUAUCAAUAAGCGGAGGA